UUAAGUUAUUAAGGGCGCACGGUGGAUGCCUUGGCACUAGAAGCCGAUGAAGGACGUUACUAACGACGAUAUGCUUUGGGGAGCUGUAAGUAAGCUUUGAUCCAGAGAUUUCCGAAUGGGGAAACCCAGCAUGAGUUAUGUCAUGUUAUCGAUAUGUGAAUACAUAGCAUAUCAGAAGGCACACCCGGAGAACUGAAACAUCUUAGUACCCGGAGGAAGAGAAAGAAAAUUCGAUUCCCUUAGUAGCGGCGAGCGAAACGGGAAGAGCCCAAACCAACAAGCUUGCUUGUUGGGGUUGUAGGACACUCUAUACGGAGUUACAAAGGACGACAUUAGACGAAUCAUCUGGAAAGAUGAAUCAAAGAAGGUAAUAAUCCUGUAGUCGAAAAUGUUGUCUCUCUUGAGUGGAUCCUGAGUACGACGGAGCACGUGAAAUUCCGUCGGAAUCUGGGAGGACCAUCUCCUAAGGCUAAAUACUCUCUAGUGACCGAUAGUGAACCAGUACCGUGAGGGAAAGGUGAAAAGCACCCCGGAAGGGGAGUGAAAUAGAACCUGAAACCGUGUGCUUACAAGUAGUCAGAGCCCGUUAAUGGGUGAUGGCGUGCCUUUUGUAGAAUGAACCGGCGAGUUACGAUUUGAUGCAAGGUUAAGCAGUAAAUGUGGAGCCGUAGCGAAAGCGAGUCUGAAUAGGGCGUUUAGUAUUUGGUCGUAGACCCGAAACCAGGUGAUCUACCCUUGGUCAGGUUGAAGUUCAGGUAACACUGAAUGGAGGACCGAACCGACUUACGUUGAAAAGUGAGCGGAUGAACUGAGGGUAGCGGAGAAAUUCCAAUCGAACCUGGAGAUAGCUGGUUCUCUCCGAAAUAGCUUUAGGGCUAGCCUCAAGUGAUGAUUAUUGGAGGUAGAGCACUGUUUGGACGAGGGGCCCCUCUCGGGUUACCGAAUUCAGACAAACUCCGAAUGCCAAUUAAUUUAACUUGGGAGUCAGAACAUGGGUGAUAAGGUCCGUGUUCGAAAGGGAAACAGCCCAGACCACCAGCUAAGGUCCCAAAAUAUAUGUUAAGUGGAAAAGGAUGUGGCGUUGCCCAGACAACUAGGAUGUUGGCUUAGAAGCAGCCAUCAUUUAAAGAGUGCGUAAUAGCUCACUAGUCGAGUGACACUGCGCCGAAAAUGUACCGGGGCUAAACAUAUUACCGAAGCUGUGGAUUGUCCUUUGGACAAUGGUAGGAGAGCGUUCUAAGGGCGUUGAAGCAUGAUCGUAAGGACAUGUGGAGCGCUUAGAAGUGAGAAUGCCGGUGUGAGUAGCGAAAGACGGGUGAGAAUCCCGUCCACCGAUUGACUAAGGUUUCCAGAGGAAGGCUCGUCCGCUCUGGGUUAGUCGGGUCCUAAGCUGAGGCCGACAGGCGUAGGCGAUGGAUAACAGGUUGAUAUUCCUGUACCACCUAUAAUCGUUUUAAUCGAUGGGGGGACGCAGUAGGAUAGGCGAAGCGUGCGAUUGGAUUGCACGUCUAAGCAGUAAGGCUGAGUAUUAGGCAAAUCCGGUACUCGUUAAGGCUGAGCUGUGAUGGGGAGAAGACAUUGAGUCUUCGAGUCGUUGAUUUCACACUGCCGAGAAAAGCCUCUAGAUAGAAAAUAGGUGCCCGUACCGCAAACCGACACAGGUAGUCAAGAUGAGAAUUCUAAGGUGAGCGAGCGAACUCUCGUUAAGGAACUCGGCAAAAUGACCCCGUAACUUCGGGAGAAGGGGUGCUCUUUAGGGUUAACGCCCAGAAGAGCCGCAGUGAAUAGGCCCAAGCGACUGUUUAUCAAAAACACAGGUCUCUGCUAAACCGUAAGGUGAUGUAUAGGGGCUGACGCCUGCCCGGUGCUGGAAGGUUAAGAGGAGUGGUUAGCUUCUGCGAAGCUACGAAUCGAAGCCCCAGUAAACGGCGGCCGUAACUAUAACGGUCCUAAGGUAGCGAAAUUCCUUGUCGGGUAAGUUCCGACCCGCACGAAAGGCGUAACGAUUUGGGCACUGUCUCAACGAGAGACUCGGUGAAAUCAUAGUACCUGUGAAGAUGCAGGUUACCCGCGACAGGACGGAAAGACCCCGUGGAGCUUUACUGUAGCCUGAUAUUGAAAUUCGGCACAGCUUGUACAGGAUAGGUAGGAGCCUUUGAAACGUGAGCGCUAGCUUACGUGGAGGCGCUGGUGGGAUACUACCCUAGCUGUGUUGGCUUUCUAACCCGCACCACUUAUCGUGGUGGGAGACAGUGUCAGGCGGGCAGUUUGACUGGGGCGGUCGCCUCCUAAAAGGUAACGGAGGCGCUCAAAGGUUCCCUCAGAAUGGUUGGAAAUCAUUCAUAGAGUGUAAAGGCAUAAGGGAGCUUGACUGCGAGACCUACAAGUCGAGCAGGGUCGAAAGACGGACUUAGUGAUCCGGUGGUUCCGCAUGGAAGGGCCAUCGCUCAACGGAUAAAAGCUACCCCGGGGAUAACAGGCUUAUCUCCCCCAAGAGUUCACAUCGACGGGGAGGUUUGGCACCUCGAUGUCGGCUCAUCGCAUCCUGGGGCUGUAGUCGGUCCCAAGGGUUGGGCUGUUCGCCCAUUAAAGCGGUACGCGAGCUGGGUUCAGAACGUCGUGAGACAGUUCGGUCCCUAUCCGUCGUGGGCGUAGGAAAUUUGAGAGGAGCUGUCCUUAGUACGAGAGGACCGGGAUGGACAUACCUCUGGUGUACCAGUUGUCGUGCCAACGGCAUAGCUGGGUAGCUAUGUGUGGACGGGAUAAGUGCUGAAAGCAUCUAAGCAUGAAGCCCCCCUCAAGAUGAGAUUUCCCAACUUCGGUUAUAAGAUCCCUCAAAGAUGAUGAGGUUAAUAGGUUCGAGGUGGAAGCAUGGUGACAUGUGGAGCUGACGAAUACUAAUCGAUCGAAGACUUAAUCAA
Molecule: ribosomal RNA, 2921 nt
Filed under: Staphylococcus aureus
Lineage: Bacteria; Bacillati; Bacillota; Bacilli; Caryophanales; Staphylococcaceae
Also listed under: 283 other names
Description: bacterial LSU rRNA
Rfam family: Bacterial large subunit ribosomal RNA
Source: RNAcentral